Molecule: long non-coding RNA, 421 nt
Organism: Stylophora pistillata
Lineage: Eukaryota; Metazoa; Cnidaria; Anthozoa; Scleractinia; Pocilloporidae
Source: RefSeq, a predicted model, not a curated record
CAUACAGGAACACAUAAAUACCACAAUUGGAAACAGGCAGAAACAAACUGACAGGACUUUUGCGUGCGAAUAUGGGGAAAGCACUUGUAGAAGUGAGAUACAAGUAAUUUCGAAUAGUUAUGUUUUUGAAAAGCUUGGCCAGUGGAGGUGAACUGGUUUUGGCAAUUACGCUGCAGAUGGACAAAUUUCUCCGCCUCAUGGGCGCCUUAAGGGCCCCGGAAUAUUCCGUUACUUAGUGAAUAGAGAAGCAUUAUUUACUUUGCUAUGACUUUAAAAGGAAUGGCAGAAAUCUGUGUCUUUGACGAACAGGGAACAAAGACCACGAAAUUUUACAAUGUCAAUCAUUUAAACAAAACCACUUCCUUGACAGCCUUACUCUGUACUGCCGAUACAGACCAUUAAACAAGGAAGUGUGAAUGGA